UACGAAGGGGGCUAGCGUUGUUCGGAAUUACUGGGCGUAAAGCGUGCGCAGGCGGUUCGCCAAGUCAGGUGUGAAAUCCCCGGGCUUAACCUGGGAAUUGCGCUUGAAACUAGCGGGCUUGAGUGUGGCAGAGGGGGGUGGAAUUCCACGUGUAGCAGUGAAAUGCGUAGAGAUGUGGAGGAACACCGAUGGCGAAGGCAGCCCCCUGGGUCAACACUGACGCUCAUGCACGAAAGCGUGGGGAGCAAACAGG
This 253-nucleotide ribosomal RNA is filed under the name uncultured bacterium. Its description in RNAcentral is "partial 16S ribosomal RNA". It matches the Rfam family "Bacterial small subunit ribosomal RNA", at positions 524 to 776 of the family's 1533-position model. The record is from RNAcentral.